Molecule: ribosomal RNA, 459 nt
Filed under: uncultured bacterium
Lineage: Bacteria
Description: partial 16S ribosomal RNA
Rfam family: Bacterial small subunit ribosomal RNA
Source: RNAcentral
CCUACGGGAGGCUGCAGUGAGGAAUAUUGGUCAAUGGCCGCAGGGCUGAACCAGCCAAGUCGCGUGAGGGAUGACGGUCCUAUGGAUUGUAAACCUCUUUUGUCAGGGAGCAAAGGGCGCCACGUGUGGCGCUUUGCGAGUACCUGAAGAAAAAGCAUCGGCUAACUCCGUGCCAGCAGCCGCGGUAAUACGGAGGAUGCGAGCGUUAUCCGGAUUUAUUGGGUUUAAAGGGUGCGCAGGCGGAAUGUCAAGUCAGCGGUAAAAUUUCGGGGCUCAACCCCGUCGUGCCGUUGAAACUGGCGUUCUUGAGUGAGCGAGAAGUAUGCGGAAUGCGUGGUGUAGCGGUGAAAUGCAUAGAUAUCGCGCAGAACUCCGAUUGCGAAGGCAGCAUACCGGCGCUCAACUGACGCUCAUGCACGAAAGCGUGGGUAUCGAACAGGAUUAGAUACCCGAGUAGUC